This 29-nucleotide small RNA is filed under the name Bombyx mori (domestic silkworm). RNAcentral describes it as "ovarian small RNA-5788". The record is from RNAcentral. Lineage: Eukaryota; Metazoa; Arthropoda; Insecta; Lepidoptera; Bombycidae.
UAAGUCGUAUUUGGUAGCCUUUCGCUUUA